GAUGAACGCUGGCGGCGUGCCUAAUACAUGCAAGUCGAACGAAACUUCUUUAUCAGCGUGUGCUUGCACUCACCGAGAAGGGGAUGAGUGGGGAACGGGUGAGUAACACGUGGGCAACCUGGCCAAAAGAGGGGGAAAACACGUGGAAACAGGAGCUAAUCCCGCAUAACAAUAGGGAGCGCUUGGGAACUUUGGAAAAGGUGGCUAUCCUACCGCGGUUGGCUGGGUCGGUGGCGAAUUAGCUAGUUGGCGGGGUAAAGGCUGACCAAGGCAACGAUCCGUAGCUGGUCUGAGAGGAUGAUCAGCCACACUGGAACUGAGACACGGUCCAGACUCCUACGGGAGGCAGCAGUGGGGAAUAUUGGACAAUGGGCGCAAGCCUGAUCCAGCCAUACCGCGUGGGUGAAGAAGGCCUUCGGGUUGUAAAGCCCUUUUGUUGGGAAAGAAAAGCAGCAGGUUAAUCCCCCGCUGUUCUGACGGUACCCAAAGAAUAAGCACCGGCUAACUUCGUG
RNAcentral lists this ribosomal RNA (512 nucleotides) under uncultured bacterium. RNAcentral's name for it is "partial 16S ribosomal RNA". It matches the Rfam family "Bacterial small subunit ribosomal RNA", at positions 28 to 507 of the family's 1533-position model. The record is from RNAcentral.